GAUAAACGCUGGCGGCGUGCCUAACACAUGCAAGUCGAACGCCCUUUUGCGCAAGUGAGAGGGAGUGGCGGACGGGUGAGUACCACGUGGGUACCUACCUUGAGGUGAGGAAUACCACCGAGAAAUCGGUGACAAGACCGCAUACGCUUGGCAACAAGCAAAGUCUCGCAAGAGACGCCACAAGAUGGGCCUGCGCCUGAUUAGCUAGUUGGUGAGGUAAUGGCUCACCAAGGCGACGAUCAGUAGCUGGUCUGAGAGGAUGAUCAGCCAUACUGGGAUUGAGAACGGCCCAGACUCCUACGGGGGCAGCAGUGAGGAAUUUCGUCAAUGGGGGCAACCCUGAACGAGCAACGCCGCGUGCAGGACGACAC
This 371-nucleotide ribosomal RNA is filed under the name uncultured bacterium. Its description in RNAcentral is "bacterial SSU rRNA". It matches the Rfam family "Bacterial small subunit ribosomal RNA", at positions 28 to 414 of the family's 1533-position model. The record is from RNAcentral.